CAGCAGCCGCGGUAAUACGUAGGGUGCAAGCGUUAAUCGGAAUUACUGGGCGUAAAGCGUGCGCAGGCGGUUUUGUAAGACAGAGGUGAAAUCCCCGGGCUCAACCUGGGAACUGCCUUUGUGACUGCAAGGCUAGAGUACGGCAGAGGGGGAUGGAAUUCCGCGUGUAGCAGUGAAAUGCGUAGAUAUGCGGAGGAACACCGAUGGCGAAGGCAAUCCCCUGGGCCUGUACUGACGCUCAGGUGCGAAAGCGUGGGGAGCAAACAGGAUUAGAUACCCCGGUAGUCCCUGUCUCUUAUAC
Molecule: ribosomal RNA, 301 nt
Filed under: uncultured bacterium
Lineage: Bacteria
Description: partial 16S ribosomal RNA
Rfam family: Bacterial small subunit ribosomal RNA
Source: RNAcentral